CGAGAUGAGGCGCAGUGGUCGCGCACCGGUUUCGGAAACCGGGGGUCGCCGGUUCGAGUCCGGUCAUCUCGA
RNAcentral lists this transfer RNA (72 nucleotides) under Plesiocystis pacifica. Its description in RNAcentral is "tRNA-Pro". It matches the Rfam family "tRNA". Rfam says of the family: Transfer RNA (tRNA) molecules are approximately 80 nucleotides in length. The record is from RNAcentral. Lineage: Bacteria; Pseudomonadati; Myxococcota; Nannocystales; Nannocystaceae. RNAcentral also lists the same sequence under 1 other name.